GUGGAUUAGAUACCCUGGUAGUCCACGCCGUAAACGAUGUCUACUCGGAGUUUGGUGUCUUGAACACUGGGCUCUCAAGCUAACGCAUUAAGUAGACCGCCUGGGGAGUACGGCCGCAAGGUUAAAACUCAAAUGAAUUGACGGGGGCCCGCACAAGCGGUGGAGCAUGUGGUUUAAUUCGAUGCAACGCGAAGAACCUUACCUACUCUUGACAUCCACAGAAGACUGCAGAGAUGCGGUUGUGCCUUCGGGAACUGUGAGACAGGUGCUGCACGGCCGUCGCCAGCU
This 288-nucleotide ribosomal RNA is filed under the name uncultured bacterium. RNAcentral's name for it is "partial 16S ribosomal RNA". It matches the Rfam family "Bacterial small subunit ribosomal RNA", at positions 773 to 1060 of the family's 1533-position model. The record is from RNAcentral.